This 230-nucleotide ribosomal RNA is filed under the name uncultured bacterium. RNAcentral describes it as "partial 16S ribosomal RNA". It matches the Rfam family "Bacterial small subunit ribosomal RNA", at positions 99 to 334 of the family's 1533-position model. The record is from RNAcentral.
CGGACGGGUGAGUAAUGUCUGGGAAACUGCCUGAUGGAGGGGAUAACUACUGGAAACGGUAGCUAAUACCGCAUAACGUCGCAAGACCAAAGAGGGGGACCUUCGGGCCUCUGCCAUCGGAUGUGCCCAGAUGGGAUUAGCUAGUAGGUGGGGUAACGGCUCACCUAGGCGACGAUCCCUAGCUGGUCUGAGAGGAUGACCAGCCACACUGGAACUGAGACACGGUCCAG